GACGAACGCUGGCGGCGUGCUUAACACAUGCAAGUCGAACGGGUCUGCCCUGUUUUUUGCGGGGUGGGUCAGUGGCGAACGGGUGAGUAACACGUGAGUAACCUGCCCCUCACUUCUGGAUAACCGCUUGAAAGGGUGGCUAAUACGGGGUGUUCUGGCUGUGCCGCAUGGUGUGGCUGGGAAAGAUUCACUUUUGUGGUGUUUUGGUGGGGGAUGGGCUCGCGGCCUAUCAGCUUGUUGGUGGGGUGAUGGCCUGCCAAGGCUUUGACGGGUAGCCGGCCUGAGAGGGGGGGCGGUCACACUGGGACUGAGAUACGGCCCAGACUCCUGCGGGAGGCAGCAGUGGGGGGUAUUGCGCAAUGGGCGGAAGCCUGAUGCAGCGACGUCGCGCGAGGGAUGGAGGCCUUCGGGUUGUGAACCUCUUUCGCCGGUGAAGAAGGUCCUGCUCUUUGUGGUGGGGUUGACGGUAGCCGGGUUAUGAAGCGCCGGCUAACUACGU
RNAcentral lists this ribosomal RNA (499 nucleotides) under uncultured bacterium. Its description in RNAcentral is "partial 16S ribosomal RNA". It matches the Rfam family "Bacterial small subunit ribosomal RNA", at positions 28 to 506 of the family's 1533-position model. The record is from RNAcentral.